AAGACCUUGCGCUUUUGGAGCGGCCGAUGUCUGAUUAGCUUGUUGGUAAGGUAAAAGCUUACCAAGGCUUCGAUCAGUAGCUGGUCUGAGAGGACGACCAGCCACACUGGGACUGAGACACGGCCCAGACUCCUACGGGAGGCAGCAGUGGGGAAUUUUGGACAAUGGGGGCAACCCUGAUCCAGCCAUGCCGCGUGAGUGAAGAAGGCCUUCGGGUUGUAAAGCUCUUUCAGCCAGAACGAAACGGUUACGGUUAAUACCCGUGACUACUGACGGUACCGGAAGAAGAAGCACCGGCUAACUACGUGCCAGCAGCCGCGGUAAUACGUAGGGUGCAAGCGUUAAUCGGAAUUACUGGGCGUAAAGCGUGCGCAGGUGGUUUUGUAAGUCAGAUGUGAAAUCCCCGGGCUUAACCUGGGAACU
This 423-nucleotide ribosomal RNA is filed under the name uncultured bacterium. RNAcentral's name for it is "bacterial SSU rRNA". It matches the Rfam family "Bacterial small subunit ribosomal RNA", at positions 207 to 622 of the family's 1533-position model. The record is from RNAcentral.